This is a non-coding RNA of Podarcis lilfordi (Lilford's wall lizard), 77 nucleotides long. Lineage: Eukaryota; Metazoa; Chordata; Lepidosauria; Squamata; Lacertidae. The record is from the annotation of a GenBank genome assembly.
CCAAAGUCCUUAGCUCAGUGGUAGAACAUCUGCCUCACAUGCAGGAGGUCCCAUGGUCAAUCUCCAGCAUCUCUGGU